Long non-coding RNA from Panicum virgatum (switchgrass), 666 nucleotides. RefSeq lists it as uncharacterized. The transcript is spliced from 2 exons. NCBI's taxonomy places the organism in Eukaryota, Viridiplantae, Streptophyta, Magnoliopsida, Poales, Poaceae. The record is from RefSeq and is a predicted model, not a curated record.
GUUAAGAAUCACGAGUUCACGACCACCACGAGAGUCGCCGAGCUGUCGUACCGGGGAGCUCCGGUUGCUGAUGAUGUUGGCGGGGGAGAACAGAACCGAGCCACACCAGAUCUAUAGGGCACCACUCGUCGCAAGCCAGAUUGGCAUGCCGGAGCUAGACAUCCGCCGUGGUGCUUGGUCGCCGACGAGCACUGGGUUGGAGUCUUGGAGAAGGAUGGGGCUGUGAGCCCGUAACUCCGCCACUGUACGUGCCGUCUGAAGAGCCCUCUCAAGCAACGGAAGAGCCUGGCCCGAUGUCGACGGCACUUGCGAGCUAUGGAAGACAGGAGGAGCACGACGCCGUCGGCCCUCGCGACAUGGUGGAGGCAGAGUUACUGAAACAUCUAAAGGACACAGGACGGGAGGAGGGUGAGCCGGUGAGGUGACGCCAUCGGCUGCAAAUGGAGAUGAGCAGCUCACGUGCCGGCUUGCAGACAGGUGCUUCCCACCACUCGUUUAGGCUCUGGAACCUUCUCAUUGUUGCUUCUGGUUUCUUUGCUCAUGUUGUUGGUCAAUCAAUGCGUUGUGUUACUGUAGUGAUCCAUGUUUCAAAAUAGCUGUUUCAUCAAGAUAUGUAAGUCAGGAUCACCCAAACAAAAUUUGGUAGCUAAGAAUUUACAGGGGCAA